RNAcentral lists this ribosomal RNA (253 nucleotides) under uncultured bacterium. Its description in RNAcentral is "partial 16S ribosomal RNA". It matches the Rfam family "Bacterial small subunit ribosomal RNA", at positions 524 to 776 of the family's 1533-position model. The record is from RNAcentral.
GACAGAGGGCGCAAGCGUUAGGCGGAAUCACUGGGCUUAAAGCGUGUGUAGGCGGAUCGUUAAGUGUCUUGUGAAAUCCCACGGCUCACCCGUGGAACUGCUGGGCAUACUGGCGAUCUUGGGCCAACUAGGGGCAGCCGGAACAAGCGGUGGAGCGGUGAAAUGCGUAGAUAUCGCUUGGAACGCCGAAGGUGAAAACAGGCUGCUGGGGUUGCGCCGACGCUGAGACGCGAAAGCCAGGGGAGCAAACGGG